GCGUGGGUCAGUCUCAUGUCCAGAUACUC
RNAcentral lists this small RNA (29 nucleotides) under Bombyx mori (domestic silkworm). Its description in RNAcentral is "ovarian small RNA-5387". Lineage: Eukaryota; Metazoa; Arthropoda; Insecta; Lepidoptera; Bombycidae. The record is from RNAcentral.